RNAcentral lists this ribosomal RNA (506 nucleotides) under uncultured Eubacteriales bacterium. RNAcentral's name for it is "bacterial SSU rRNA". It matches the Rfam family "Bacterial small subunit ribosomal RNA", at positions 8 to 507 of the family's 1533-position model. Lineage: Bacteria; Bacillati; Bacillota; Clostridia; Eubacteriales. The record is from RNAcentral.
AGAGUUUGAUCCUGGCUCAGGAUGAACGCUGGCGGCGUGCUUAACACAUGCAAGUCGAACGGACCCAUAUUGAAACCUAGUGAUAUAUGGGUUAGUGGCGGACGGGUGAGUAACGCGUGGGUAACCUGCCUUACACAGGGGGAUAACACUUAGAAAUAGGUGCUAAAACCGCAUAAGCGCACAGCUUCGCAUGAAGCGGUGUGAAAAACUCCGGUGGUGUAAGAUGGACCCGCGUCUGAUUAGCUUGUUGGCGGGGUAACGGCCCACCAAGGCGACGAUCAGUAGCCGGCCUGAGAGGGCGGACGGCCACAUUGGGACUGAGACACGGCCCAGACUCCUACGGGAGGCAGCAGUGGGGAAUAUUGCACAAUGGGGGAAACCCUGAUGCAGCGACGCCGCGUAAGUGAAGAAGUAAUUCGUUACGUAAAGCUCUAUCAGCAGGGAAGAAACACUGACCUUACGGUCAGCAGACGGUACCUGAGUAAGAAGCCCCGGCUAACUACGUG